Long non-coding RNA from Ornithodoros turicata, 539 nucleotides. RefSeq lists it as uncharacterized. Lineage: Eukaryota; Metazoa; Arthropoda; Arachnida; Ixodida; Argasidae. The transcript is spliced from 2 exons. The record is from RefSeq and is a predicted model, not a curated record.
GUUGCAGCGACGAGUGUCGUAUUUUGUGAUAUUUCUUGUGACGACUCUUGUGGACAAAUACCAGCAUGGAAGACUUAAUAACAAUUGGGGUUUACAUUGCGAGACAACUGAGAUCAUGAGCGACGCCACAGCAGUCGGUCUGUGGAUUGCCCACCUGAGUGUCCUUAAAUGUGCAAUGAAAGCUCACCACACAACACACCGUAUUUAAUGUCCCUUGUGGAAGAUGGCAUGUCUAAGCAACCUGUAUCCUGGCACUAAGUUGCUGCUGUUUUUGGCCGGGUUCGAACCAGCGAUCUCGGGAUCAGAAGGCGAACAGACUCACUCACCAGGGCCGGUUCAUGGACAACUUGAACACCACAAUUAUGUUAACUCUGCCAUCAAGUAAUUCAGUUUCCUGCAUAUGUUUUGUAACAAUUGAACUUCAGUUUUGUAAGCCUGAAAGCUAAGCUUAGAACCACCUCUUAUAAUAUAGUGACUGUAUUUGAUGUGUGAAUGUGUUCACACCUCUUAAAAAGCUAAUAAAACAAAAAUCUUGAUGA